AGAGAAAGAGCAGCAAACGUCUGAAAUACUGGCUGUGAUCAGCAACCUCACGUCAAACAGGAAAAUGUAGGGGAAAAUCGGCAUGACAUUGGAUUUGGCAAUGAUUUGUUGGAUAUGACAUCAAAAGCACAGGCAACACACAGAAAAAUAGCCACUCAGGCAACUCUAACUUGUAGCCAGAGCUGAGAACCAGUGAUCCAAAGACCAAGCAGAGAAGCCGAGGAUGGGAAAGC
Diceros bicornis minor is the source of this 233-nucleotide long non-coding RNA. RefSeq lists it as uncharacterized. Lineage: Eukaryota; Metazoa; Chordata; Mammalia; Perissodactyla; Rhinocerotidae. The transcript has 3 exons. The record is from RefSeq and is a predicted model, not a curated record.